Non-coding RNA from Triticum urartu, 1267 nucleotides. NCBI's taxonomy places the organism in Eukaryota, Viridiplantae, Streptophyta, Magnoliopsida, Poales, Poaceae. The record is from RefSeq and is a predicted model, not a curated record.
UGCCUCCUCCAUCCAAGGAGUACGCGGCCAAGCCAAAUCUCUUCUCUCCGUGACCACAACGCCGCCGCCACCACCAGUGAUUCUGCCUAGCUCCGGCGCCUGCUGCGCCGCCGCUUACAGGAGCAGCUACCCCUCACUACCCUUCCCCGAUCCCUCGCCAUGGCGACUUCCUCUGCGCCCCUACAUGCGGCCCGCAGCAACCCUAGUUACCACAGGUCGCCAACGCCCCGCGCCUCCUCUGUUUUGUCAAUCUGCUGCCCCGCGCCUCCUCUGGUUUGUCGACCUACUGCCCCGCGCCACGUCUCCGCACGCGCCGCUCCCGGCUCGGCCUUGGUGGCCAGGGCGGAUUCUUUGCCGGCCAUCGUGAUGACAAUCCACGCUACCUUGACUGCUCAUCCUGAUCCACCGCCGCGGGCGCUGGCUUGCACCGGCAUCAAUGUCACUACACUCCGUAAAUCAUAGGAUGCCUAACAUCACACGGUAAUGAUCUGCCCGCGGUGUUUUCAAGGGGAGAGGCGGAUGAUUUAAAGUGCUAGUAUCAGAAUAUUAGAUCGCUGGUGGCGUGUUGUCUGCUGGAAGCAAUUCGCCUAGAGGGGAAAGGGUGGCCGUUGUACCGGGGGUGAGUACAAUCGAGGGCGAGGCACACGUGGGUGGGGAGGAAACACUUGGUGCUAGGUUAAAGGAAGGGCUGAGUACGAUUAGUCCAGUGUAGUUACAGGUGUUGGCCUCUAGCUUGCUGUCAAACACGUGCUCUUGCAGAGGACCAGAGUAAUGCUUUAAUUCCCGCCAAUGCAUCAAUGCAAGGAUACCAGAAUAUGGGUUGCUUUAGACUUUCCUUGAGGAACUGGUGACAAAAUACACAGAAACCAAGUUUGUUAAAUUAUCUCCACUAACUAUAUUCCCAACUACGCAUAUAAGAUGUUUCCAAAGGGAUUUUUGUUGGUCUGCAGCAGCUUUGUGGAACGAAAUGCACACCUGAAUUGGCGCAUUGCCAGUCAGUUCUAGUACUGAACCAUGGGCAGGGUGGCGGUAAUUCAUCCUAUAACAAUGUCAUAGAAGGCAUUCGCAGGAAGUUCAUAGAGAAGCUUGUCAUCCAGCAUGAAGGACGAUGAAGACGAAGAUGAUGCAUGGCUAAGUUGUUGAUAGAAAGGUGGAAAAUGGGGCUACUACAAGAUAAUUUUACAUUUACGUUAUACAAUGUCAGUUUCAUGGUUAAUAAAUAGGAGAUAAUGUAGUAUCUUUAUCAGAUUGUGUUCCAUGUAAUGCA